Molecule: ribosomal RNA, 498 nt
Filed under: uncultured bacterium
Lineage: Bacteria
Description: bacterial SSU rRNA
Rfam family: Bacterial small subunit ribosomal RNA
Source: RNAcentral
AGAGUUUGAUCAUGGCUCAGAGCGAACGCUGGCGGCAGGCCUAAAACAUGCAAGUCGAACGGAUCUCAGCCGCAAGGCUGAGGUCAGUGGCGAACGGCUGAGUAACACGUAGGUGACCUGCCCCGAAGUGGGGGACAACUCCUCGAAAGAGGGGCUAAUACCGCAUGUGACCACUCGUUCAUUCGAGUGCUCAAAGACGUAAGUCGCUUUGGGAGGGGCCUGCGGCGGAUCAGCUAGUUGGUGGGGUAAUGGCUCACCAAGGCUACGAUCCGUAGCUGGUCUGAGAGGACGGCCAGCCAGACUGGGACUGAGACACGGCCCAGACUCCUACGGGAGGCAGCAGUUAGGGAUCUUGUGCAAUGGGGGAAACCCUGACACAGCAACGCCGCGUGAGGGAUGAAGGCCUUCGGGUCGUAAACCUCUUUUCUGAGGGAAGAAACCUGACGGUACCUCAGGAAUAAGCAACGGCUAACUACGUGCUAGCCGCCGCGGUAAUAC